UUAAUUUUUAAUUUACUUAUUUUUUUAUAUAUAUAUGUUUGAGAAAUUUCUUUUUUCUUAGUAAAUAGAUGAGAAUGGAUUGUUUUAGUAAUAGCUUAUUAGUACUGUGAAGGGGUGUUGAAAUAUAGUUGAAAUUAAUUAUUUAUAAAGUAUAUUUUGUUAAUAGUACCUUUUGUAUCAGGGUUGAUUAAUUUUAUUUAAUUUAUUUUAUUUUCUCGAUAUUGUAAGAGCUAAUAAUUUAAUUUGUUUAUUGUAGUAAAAAUAUCAAUAAUAAUUAUUUGUAAAGAAAUUUUAUUCGUUUAUAAAUAUAUCUAGUUUUUUAAGAAAUAAAUUGAAUUUAAUUCUGUUUUAUUAUUUUGUUUUCUUAUUUAGACUUAUAAAGUGCAGAUUAAAAAUGAUAGGGGAUAAGCUCUAUCUUUUUCUAAAAUAUAAUUUUAUUUAAUUUUUGUAGGUUUAGAAUCAUCCAUCAUUUGAAUUACGUUAUAGUUUAUAUUAUUUUGUUUUUGAUUUAUUUUUAUUUAGUGUAAAUAUUAAAAUAUUUAAGUUAACUUAAACCUUAAAGUAAUUAUGAUUAAAUUAGUAUAUUAUUGUUGUUAGUUGAGUAAUAAAAGUUAAUUCAUAAUAAGGAAUUCGGCAAAUAUAAUGUUCGCCUGUUUAACAAAAACAUGUCUUCUCGUUUAUUUGGGAAGUCUGACCUGCCCAGUGAAAUAAUUAUUUAACGGCCGCGGUAUCUUGACCGUGCAAAGGUAGCAUAAUCAUUAGUCUUUUAAUAGAAGACUGGAAUGAAGGGUUUGACGAAAUAUUAACUGUCUCAUUUUGAUAUUUUAAAAUUUAAUUUUUAGGUUAAAAAGCUUAAAUGUUAUUGGAAGACGAGAAGACCCUAUAGAGCUUUAUAAUUAAAUUUAUAGUUAAAACUUGUUUAAUAAAGUAAAACUAUUAUUUUAAUUUUUUUGUUGGGGUGAUAGUAAAUAUAGAUUUAACUUUUAUAUAAUAAAAUUGUUCAUUUAUUUAUGAUUAUUAGAUCCAUUAUUAUUGA
RNAcentral lists this ribosomal RNA (1036 nucleotides) under Rhipidolestes hiraoi. Its description in RNAcentral is "LSU rRNA". The stretch from base 636 to 805 matches the Rfam family "Bacterial large subunit ribosomal RNA", at positions 1785 to 2014 of the family's 2925-position model. The record is from RNAcentral. Lineage: Eukaryota; Metazoa; Arthropoda; Insecta; Odonata; Megapodagrionidae.